AUUGAACGCUGGCGGCAUGCUUUACACAUGCAAGUCGAACGGUAACAGGCCUUCGGGUGCUGACGAGUGGCGAACGGGUGAGUAAUGCAUCGGAACGUGCCCAGAGGUGGGGGAUAACGCAGCGAAAGCUGUGCUAAUACCGCAGGUGAUCUGAGGAUGAAAGCGGGGGACCAGGCAGCAAUGUUUGGCCUCGCGCCUUUGGAGCGGCCGAUGUCAGAUUAGGUAGUUGGUGGGGUAAAGGCCUACCAAGCCGACGAUCUGUAGCUGGUCUGAGAGGACGACCAGCCACACUGGGACUGAGACACGGCCCAGACUCCUACGGGAGGCAGCAGUGGGGAAUUUUGGACAAUGGGCGCAAGCCUGAUCCAGCAAUGCCGCGUGCGGGAAGAAGGCCUUCGGGUUGUAAACCGCUUUUGUACGGAACGAAAAGGCUCUGGCUAAUACCUGGGGCUGAUGACGGUACCGUAAGAAUAAGCACCGGCUAACUACGUG
RNAcentral lists this ribosomal RNA (492 nucleotides) under uncultured bacterium. RNAcentral's name for it is "partial 16S ribosomal RNA". It matches the Rfam family "Bacterial small subunit ribosomal RNA", at positions 30 to 507 of the family's 1533-position model. The record is from RNAcentral.